RNAcentral lists this ribosomal RNA (751 nucleotides) under Micromonospora chalcea. Its description in RNAcentral is "bacterial SSU rRNA". It matches the Rfam family "Bacterial small subunit ribosomal RNA", at positions 142 to 906 of the family's 1533-position model. Lineage: Bacteria; Bacillati; Actinomycetota; Actinomycetes; Micromonosporales; Micromonosporaceae. The record is from RNAcentral.
GAUAACCCCGGGAAACCGGGGCUAAUACCGAAUAUGACCUUGCACCGCAUGGUGUUUGGUGGAAAGUUUUUCGGCUUGGGAUGGGCUCGCGGCCUAUCAGCUUGUUGGUGGGGUGAUGGCCUACCAAGGCGACGACGGGUAGCCGGCCUGAGAGGGCGACCGGCCACACUGGGACUGAGACACGGCCCAGACUCCUACGGGAGGCAGCAGUGGGGAAUAUUGCACAAUGGGCGGAAGCCUGAUGCAGCGACGCCGCGUGAGGGAUGACGGCCUUCGGGUUGUAAACCUCUUUCAGCAGGGACGAAGCGUAAGUGACGGUACCUGCAGAAGAAGCGCCGGCCAACUACGUGCCAGCAGCCGCGGUAAGACGUAGGGCGCGAGCGUUGUCCGGAUUUAUUGGGCGUAAAGAGCUCGUAGGCGGCUUGUCGCGUCGACCGUGAAAACCUGGGGCUCAACCCCAGGCCUGCGGUCGAUACGGGCAGGCUAGAGUUCGGUAGGGGAGACUGGAAUUCCUGGUGUAGCGGUGAAAUGCGCAGAUAUCAGGAGGAACACCGGUGGCGAAGGCGGGUCUCUGGGCCGAUACUGACGCUGAGGAGCGAAAGCGUGGGGAGCGAACAGGAUUAGAUACCCUGGUAGUCCACGCUGUAAACGUUGGGCGCUAGGUGUGGGGGGCCUCUCCGGUUCCCUGUGCCGCAGCUAACGCAUUAAGCGCCCCGCCUGGGGAGUACGGCCGCAAGGCUAAAACUCAAAG